GACGAACGCUGGCGGCGCGCCUAACACAUGCAAGUCGAACGGAGCUGAGAGAAGCUUGCUUUUCUUAGCUUAGUGGCGAACGGGUGAGUAACGCGUGAGUAACCUGCCCUGGAGUGGGGGACAACAGUUGGAAACGACUGCUAAUACCGCAUAAGCCCACGAUCCGGCAUCGGAUUGAGGGAAAAGGAUUUAUUCGCUUCAGGAUGGACUCGCGUCCAAUUAGCUAGUUGGUGAGGUAACGGCCCACCAAGGCGACGAUUGGUAGCCGGACUGAGAGGUUGAACGGCCACAUUGGGACUGAGACACGGUCCAGACUCCUACGGGAGGCAGCAGUGGGGGAUAUUGCACAAUGGGGGAAACCCUGAUGCAGCGACGCCGCGUGGAGGAAGAAGGUUUUCGGAUUGUAAACUCCUGUCGUUAGGGACGAUAAUGACGGUACCUAACAAGAAAGCACCGGCUAACUACGUG
This 468-nucleotide ribosomal RNA is filed under the name uncultured bacterium. RNAcentral's name for it is "partial 16S ribosomal RNA". It matches the Rfam family "Bacterial small subunit ribosomal RNA", at positions 28 to 507 of the family's 1533-position model. The record is from RNAcentral.